RNAcentral lists this transfer RNA (64 nucleotides) under Lachesilla sp. LaspGHN. RNAcentral describes it as "tRNA-Phe". The record is from RNAcentral. Lineage: Eukaryota; Metazoa; Arthropoda; Insecta; Psocodea; Lachesillidae.
AUUUAAAUAGCUUAAAAUUAGAGCACAACAUUGAAGCUGUUGGGGUAACAUUUGUUUUUAAAUA